This 256-nucleotide ribosomal RNA is filed under the name uncultured bacterium. RNAcentral describes it as "partial 16S ribosomal RNA". It matches the Rfam family "Bacterial small subunit ribosomal RNA", at positions 1066 to 1320 of the family's 1533-position model. The record is from RNAcentral.
CGUGAGAUGUUGGGUUAAGUCCCGCAACGAGCGCAACCCCUAUCCUAUGUUACCAGCAAGUAAAGUUGGGGACUCAUGGGAGACUGCCAGGGACAACCUGGAGGAAGGCGGGGAUGACGUCAAGUCAUCAUGCCCCUUAUGUCUUGGGCUACACACGUACUACAAUGGUCGGAAACAGAGGGAAGCGAAGCCGCGAGGCAGAGCAAACCCCAGAAACCCGAUCUCAGUUCGGAUCGCAGGCUGCAACCCGCCUGCG